UUAAAUUGAAGAGUUUGAUCAUGGCUCAGAUUGAACGCUGGCGGCAGGCCUAACACAUGCAAGUCGAGCGGAAACGAGUUAUCAGAACCUUCGGGGGACGAUAACGGCGUCGAGCGGCGGACGGGUGAGUAAU
Molecule: ribosomal RNA, 133 nt
Filed under: Vibrio parahaemolyticus
Lineage: Bacteria; Pseudomonadati; Pseudomonadota; Gammaproteobacteria; Vibrionales; Vibrionaceae
Description: partial 16S ribosomal RNA
Rfam family: Bacterial small subunit ribosomal RNA
Source: RNAcentral